RNAcentral lists this ribosomal RNA (274 nucleotides) under uncultured prokaryote. Its description in RNAcentral is "partial 16S ribosomal RNA". It matches the Rfam family "Bacterial small subunit ribosomal RNA", at positions 524 to 798 of the family's 1533-position model. The record is from RNAcentral.
UACGUAGGGGCAAGCGUUGUCCGGAAUAAUUGGGCGUAAAGGGCGCGUAGGCGGCAAGGCAAGUCAGCAGUGGAAGUCCCAUUUUCAAGGUGGGGAGGGCUGUUGAAACUGCGUUGCUUGAGUGCAGGAGAGGUUAUCGGAAUUCCCGGUGUAGCGGUGAAAUGCGUAGAGAUCGGGAGGAACACCAGUGGCGAAGGCGGGUAACUGGACUGCAACUGACGCUGAGGCGCGAAAGUGUGGGGAGCAAACAGGAUUAGAUACCCUGGUAGUCCCU